GUUCUUUUAGUCUAAUGGCGAGGAUAUUGUCUUUUAUAGGCAAAGGUGUGGGUUCGAGGCCCGUAAAGAAC
Molecule: transfer RNA, 71 nt
Filed under: Fucus vesiculosus
Lineage: Eukaryota; Phaeophyceae; Fucales; Fucaceae
Description: tRNA-OTHER
Rfam family: tRNA
About the family: Transfer RNA (tRNA) molecules are approximately 80 nucleotides in length. Their secondary structure includes four short double-helical elements and three loops (D, anti-codon, and T loops).
Source: RNAcentral